Molecule: long non-coding RNA, 496 nt
Filed under: Mytilus galloprovincialis (Mediterranean mussel)
Lineage: Eukaryota; Metazoa; Mollusca; Bivalvia; Mytilida; Mytilidae
Source: RNAcentral
UUACAUCCCAGCUCCUUUGUUCUAACAGGGGUGAUCUGAGCCGGAUCACCCCAACCAGAUCACCCCACUUUGAGUUUCUUUGUUAUGCAUGCUUUCCUUUGUUCUGUAACAUUUUGGCGGGAAUGUCAAAUCCACUAUAAAACUUAUAAUUAAAUAUACAAUUAUCCGGAAAAGACUAUCUAUCAAAAUUCACGUAGAAAAAAUCCAGUGUAUAUGCUGGGAUUCGAACUCAAGACCUUUAGCAUAUCAAGCCACGACACAACCACUACACCAGGACGACUGGAUACAAACUGUCAGUAAUUUAACAUACUUAAAGGAAGCAAGAUAUUUUUAUAAGUGGGGCGAGUUGGCAGACCUUUAUUCAGUAGGGUUUAAACCCUUUUCGUUAAUAAGUGAGUUGUCAGUGACUGUUCAGUUUGAUUUUACACUUUUUCAAAAGUGGGACGAUUUGUUUCAUAAAGUGGCGAUAUAGGUUGGGCCGAUUGGCCAAUGGGGC